Molecule: small nuclear RNA, 107 nt
Filed under: Nannospalax galili (Upper Galilee mountains blind mole rat)
Lineage: Eukaryota; Metazoa; Chordata; Mammalia; Rodentia; Spalacidae
Source: RNAcentral
GUGCUCACUUCGGCAGCACAUACACUAAAAUUGGAAUGAUAUAGAGAAGAUUAUCAUGGCCCCUGCGCAAGGAUGACACAUAAAUCCGUGAAGUGUUCCAUCGUUUU